RNAcentral lists this ribosomal RNA (496 nucleotides) under uncultured bacterium. Its description in RNAcentral is "partial 16S ribosomal RNA". It matches the Rfam family "Bacterial small subunit ribosomal RNA", at positions 28 to 506 of the family's 1533-position model. The record is from RNAcentral.
GAUGAACGCUGGCGGCGUGCCUAAUACAUGCAAGUCGAGCGAACGGACGAGAAGCUUGCUUCUCUGAUGUUAGCGGCGGACGGGUGAGUAACACGUGGAUAACCUACCUAUAAGACUGAGAUAACUUCGGGAAACCGGAGCUAAUACCGGAUAAUAUUUUGAACCGCAUGGUUCAAAAGUGAAAGACGGUCUUGCUGUCACUUAUAGAUGGAUCCGCGCUGCAUUAGCUAGUUGGUAAGGUAACGGCUUACCAAGGCAACGAUGCAUAGCCGACCUGAGAGGGUGAUCGGCCACACUGGAACUGAGACACGGUCCAGACUCCUACGGGAGGCAGCAGUAGGGAAUCUUCCGCAAUGGGCGAAAGCCUGACGGAGCAACGCCGCGUGAGUGAUGAAGGUCUUCGGAUCGUAAAACUCUGUUAUUAGGGAAGAACAUAUGUGUAAGUAACUGUGCACAUCUUGACGGUACCUAAUCAGAAAGCCACGGCGAACUACGU